GUCUAAAACUACAUCUGUUUCCCUAGGUGGCCACACCUACUCUGGACAAUUGUCAGAAAUCCUGCAGGUUAGUUUUCCUGCUCUAAUGUUUGUUGGUAAUACAGAAAAAUAAGUAAAUUUUAUGUUCCAAAAAGAAAAUAUUGCUGGCCUGUGUUUUAGUUUCAGGAGCUACAGACUUUGAAUGUCUCAGAAGAUCCUUUAAAUGUUGUACACAAAGUAAAGGUUCACAUAGUCACUGCAGGAGAAACCUUUGGGGCUGACAAUGUUCUGCUGACGGACCUUGCGGGUCUACAGGUGGAGAGCACAGACCAGCAAGGAUGCAGCAUCAUCAUUCUUUUCUGUCCAAUCAGCUCUUGUGUUGGGUCAGACAUGAAGGCAGCUAUGAAGAAGGUGUCAGGUGACAAACCAGUCAUUCUGGUUCUGAUGCACCACACACGAAAUCCUGACUACUCAACAUGUGGGGAAAGCCAGUGUUCAGUCUAUCAGAACGUUGUCCUGGUUGUCCAUGUUCUCUUCCAUGAAAGUGUGAAAGGACUACUGAGAAGUUCAAAAAACAGUGAGGCAGUCCGACAGAUACACUAUAAACUACUGCAGUACAGUAGCAUUAGCAGGCUCAGAAAUGACCAGGGGACCCAGGAUAUGAGCCAAUCGUCAUGAAGAACUGUGGAAGAAGCUCAUGAAG
Molecule: long non-coding RNA, 682 nt
Filed under: Oreochromis niloticus (Nile tilapia)
Lineage: Eukaryota; Metazoa; Chordata; Actinopteri; Cichliformes; Cichlidae
Description: lncRNA (ENSONIG00000032126.1)
Source: RNAcentral